UUCCGUAGUGACCUGCGG
This 18-nucleotide ribosomal RNA is filed under the name Bulbochaete rectangularis var. hiloensis. RNAcentral's name for it is "partial 18S ribosomal RNA". Lineage: Eukaryota; Viridiplantae; Chlorophyta; Chlorophyceae; Oedogoniales; Oedogoniaceae. RNAcentral also lists the same sequence under 1 other name. The record is from RNAcentral.